CGCGCGGUUCGCUGGGACUUGUAGUUGGGGGCCCAUGGCGAGGGCACGGGUCAGUUUGCGGAUCACUGCGUUGCCAGGUGUGGGAUCUCACGUGGGAGGAAUCUGCAUUUCCCUGAGAGGAAGAUAUGACAAAGUUCCAGAUUUACUUUCUUCUGAAUUUGGAAAUCCCAGAGGGCUGUUUUGUUUUUACAGUUCUGGAGAUUGAACCCAGAGCUCACAGAUGGCUAGGGUAAAUGCUCUAUCAUAAGGUACACUCCAAGCCUGCCUUUUUGUU
RNAcentral lists this long non-coding RNA (274 nucleotides) under Ictidomys tridecemlineatus (thirteen-lined ground squirrel). RNAcentral describes it as "lncRNA (ENSSTOG00000033434.1)". Lineage: Eukaryota; Metazoa; Chordata; Mammalia; Rodentia; Sciuridae. The record is from RNAcentral.